Molecule: ribosomal RNA, 497 nt
Filed under: uncultured bacterium
Lineage: Bacteria
Description: partial 16S ribosomal RNA
Rfam family: Bacterial small subunit ribosomal RNA
Source: RNAcentral
GAUGAACGCUGGCGGCGUGCCUAAUACAUGCAAGUCGAGCGAACAGACGAGGAGCUUGCUCCUCUGACGUUAGCGGCGGACGGGUGAGUAACACGUGGAUAACCUACCUAUAAGACUGGGAUAACUUCGGGAUACCGGAGCUAAUACCGGAUAACAUGUUGAACCGCAUGGUUCAACAGUGAAAGACGGUCUUGCUGUCACUUAUAGAUGGAUCCGCGCCGCAUUAGCUAGUUGGUAAGGUAACGGCUUACCAAGGCAACGAUGCGUAGCCGACCUGAGAGGGUGAUCGGCCACACUGGAACUGAGACACGGUCCAGACUCCUACGGGAGGCAGCAGUAGGGAAUCUUCCGCAAUGGGCGAAAGCCUGACGGAGCAACGCCGCGUGAGUGAAGAAGGUCUUCGGAUCGUAAAACUCUGUUAUUAGGGAAGAACAAAUGUGUAAGUAACUAUGCACGUCUUGACGGUACCUAAUCAGAAAGCCACGGCUAACUACGUG